CUGCUUUAAAUCAUAUGCCAUAAGAACAAAUGCUUCAACUUUUGUAAGCGCUUGGAUUGUUUUAGUUGAUAUAGGGAGGUUGGAUGAGUUGUGGCCAGCCUUCGCCCAAGCAAUGAGUUCUUCUCCAGAAAAGUCACCACCUUCCAGAUGGUUGUUCAGGUUACCAGAAUUGCUUGAUAAUUCAGUUACCCUCCUGGAAGUGUAGGUCCAUAACUUGCCUUGUAGCACGAAGAGCAUUUGAUCAAUUGGGUUUUCCUCCUGGAUAAUGUAAGAGCGCUCUGUGAAGACAGCUGGCUUCACAACAUCACACAGUUUCUCCAACGAUGAACCAUCCAAGUUUCCAAACUCUUCUACCUAUACAAACAUACAUCCAAUAUUGUUACUGUAAUCUAAAAGGCUCAAUGCUGAUAAUGAAAUUCAGCUUCUGAAUGCAGAAAAUUGAAAAUAAAAGUUGAUCUAGAACUAUCUCAGCUAAAAUGAGAUUCAUUCCCCAACGCUAAAAACAUAUCAGGGUUGAGUUUAUGUUGAGGUGAUGUGGACUUUAGCUAUUGCGCUUUCAAAACCAUGCAAAAGUUCAAAUAGUUACAAACAUUUACCCUUGAGUUUAUUCGAUCGAGUUAAAGAAGAGGAAAAUAUUUUCAUUAGUUUUUCGGAUUGUUGUUUAUAUGCUGCUAGCCUCUCCUUUGUCAGUUCCACAAAUUCAGAAGUAGGAGGCACAAAUAUAGUUGUAAAGAUCUCUUACUCACUUUUUUUAGCAGGUCUAAGCAGAGUUUUUGUUUUAUGUUCUUCCUGAGGUCCUCUGGAAGAUUGUUCACCAGAUAUUCUACAUCAAUACCUGUGGUUUCUUGCACUUUGGAUAACUGAUGUUCCUUGAUCUCCAUUUGGAGUUUCUCAGGGAGCUUUUCAACGGGCCGCCACUUGUAUAUUUCUUGUACCUUCUGUCUUAUCUCCUCUGCUUUUGACAUUUCAGACUGCAAAUUGCGCAAGAAUCAUAGUUCAUAGAAAAUUAAAAUUUAUUGUGCUUCAUCUCAAUCAACCAUAAAGAACCCAUUUUAAGAGACAAGAAUCAGACGAGAAAAUAAAAUAAAAUAAAAUAAAAUAAAGAUACACCAACCUGGACCUUUCCAAUCAAGAAGAAAAACAGCACUACCCCAGUGAUGGUAAUUGAAAUCACAAAGAUGUUUUCCAAGACAUUGGUACUGAAUGGGAGACCUUGACCAAAAGAACUGCAAAGUCAAACCCACAAAUUUAUUAGAACUAAUGUUUUUGAGUUUAAUUGCUAAAAAAACAUAAAAAUACGUAUGCGUAAUUAUAUGCACCAAAAACAUAGAAAGGCAUAUGCACAAAGAUUGUUACAAGGAGAAUGAUGUAUAUCCACAACUUAACCUGAGAUUUUGCAGGCUCCAUCGAAUACAAGGGAAGAACCUCAGAAAUAAAUUGUUUUGCUCAAUAACACUAGAAUUAAUAGCAUCAUAGAAUAUCCCAAAAUGGUAGGUAGUUGCAAUUUGAGUCUUUGUAGAGCAAAAAUCAUUAGAAAAUGUGUAGUUUGUUAAACUGUUGUCACAGUGUAAGGGAAGGAGACGGCAUUUGGCAGAAUCUGUGCAGGCUUUCCUCCAACAUUCGGUCUUUCUUUGUAGAGCAAAAAAGUACCAUAAUGCUCCAAACCCCUAAACAACCAUCAAUUAGAUCAUCAGGAAUUAUAAAUUACCCAAAAAGAGUAAAGAGAAAUAGAAUAUAUUGGAGACUUGGGAGGCAAGUAAACUUACAUUAGCAGCAUGUAGGUAAAAGAGAUUGAACGUGAGCCUGGCCCAUUUAGUUUGUUUAUAUGAAUUCUUCCUUUCUUUAAUCAAUGCAUACAAUCGGAUAACCUUUAGCAAAUGUUGGACAAUAAACAGGUUCAUCACAGAGAAAAAUUUCUUGCCACUCAUCACGUUACUAUAAACUAGAAGCACCAACACCUGAACAGUUUGUACACCAUAAAGAUAGAAUUAUCAAUUAUGAAAUAUGAUUCCAUAUGAAAAGAAAAAAAUUACAACCUGUGUGCUUGCUAGAAAUCCAACAUAAAUUGGUUUGGGCGUCCAUAGGUGUGCGCGCGUGCCCUUGCUUGGCUAAUUGGAACAAAUAAGUAAAAAGUACGACAGAACAAACAUUUACCUGUGGGAGUGGAAGAAUGAUGGCGAGAUCAAAUAGGAAGACGGGCAACAGAGAUAUGCUAUAAUUUCGAUGCCAAUUCUCCCAUAGUUGAAAAGCAUUAUUUAUCAAAAAAUAUAUAUCACAUCCUGUGCGUUCAACAAUACCCACCCUCAAAACCCAUAUGUCAAAUUGGAAGCACUUUUUGUCAUCGUUGAUCACGGGAAGGUACAAGAAAACAGGAUCAAAUACCAUGGAAUACACAUAAAUCAGCAAAAAAUUAACUUCCAGGAAACGUAUCGGCAGAUCACGAAUCUGCUGAAGGCAUGUUUUUCCUCCAUUACCCAAGCUUUCGUUCAGAGUGCGAUAAACAGAUUUUGCUGCUUCUCUCGCGCUCCAACUGAUGCAGUCCAUUUCAACACUAGCAACUCGUCUCGGCGUUCCUUCCUCUAAAUUCAAGUCCCGAGACCUGAAAAAAUAAAGUCAACUUCAUCGUCAUCACCAUAUACGAUAAUUGUAAUAAUACAUAGCUUGCACUUCAGCUCAGUAGGGUUCUAUACGUAUGUCAUUAAAUUAAUAGACAACUCGCUUAAGGCUUACAUAAUCAACGAAGGGGAAGGGAAAUUUAAGUAAAUGAAGCAAAGCUUGAUUUCAGUUUCCUUCAAUUAAAUACAGGUGGAUCCUUCACAAAUCAUCACUUCAGUGGCUGAGUCUUCGGAGUUCAGAGCAUGCUUAUCUUAUGUGCUAAUAAGUAUCUAGACACUGUGGUUCCUCAAGACUUUGACUUCAUGCACAAUUAAUCAAACAACCAAAAAAAAAAAAUUUCCAAUAAAUAUGUAAUUUCUGUAGCACCUUUUGAUUGAGUUGGGGCCGCAGGCAACUAAUAGUUACGACUUGAGGUUAGAACUUAUCCAUAUGCAUAGUCUCAAUCUACGGUUCAUUAACCAAACUUUUGGCCCCGAGAGGCUGCAAGUCUUAUCAUGUCCCUCGUGUUUUUUGCUCACUAGUAGAAUUGGAUCUUUGUGCUUAUUGCUCAAGAUAAAUGUAAGCCUUAACCUGAGAGCUUGCAGGCUCCAUUGAAAACAAGGCAAGUACCUCCGAAAAAAAUAGUUUUGAUCCAAAACACCCGAUUGAAUAGCAUCACGGAAUAUCCCAAAAUCAUAGAUAGUUGCAUUUUGGGUCUUUGUAGAGCAAAAAUCACUAAAAAAUGUGUAGUUUGUUAAACUGUCAUCGCAGUGCAAAGGAAGGAAAUCACAUCUGGUAAAAUCUGUGCAGGCUUUCUUCCAACAUUCAGCCUUUCUUUGUACAGCGAAAAAGUACCAUAAUGAUCCAAACACCUAAAGAACCGUCAAGUAGAUCACCAGGAACUAUAAAUUACCCAAAAAACAGUAAAGAGAAAUAGAACAUUUUGGAGACUUAAGAGGCAAGUAAACUUACGUUAGCAGCCUGUAGGUAACCGAAAUUGAACGUCAGAUUGGCCCAUUUAUUAAGGUUAUAUGAAUUCUUCCAUUCUGUAAUCAAUUUAGCCAAUCGGAUAACCUUUAACCCAUGUUGUACAAGAAACAGGUUCAUCAGAGAGAAAAAUUCCUGGCCACUAAUUCUUUGACUAUAAGCUAGAAGCACCAACACCUGAAUAGUUUGUAAAUAUUAAAAAAAAAAGAAAAUUAAUCGUACAAAAUACAACCUAUACAUGCUUGUGUCAAGGAAGCUCAUUAUGCAUGGAAGGAUGCAGCACACGUGUGAGAUGAAUACAGUCAGCUGAAUCAAUUGAAGAGUGAAGUGCCAGCUCAGCUGAAGUAAGUUAGACACGUUAAGAUCAUAUUCAGUUAGCUUCUUUAUUUUCUGUUAAGCUGUAAACAACUGAGUAUAAAUACAAGCAUCUUGUAAUCAUUUUGUUAUUAAGUAAAAUGAAAUAAAGCAUUUGAUUCAGAAGUCUUUUACAAAUUUUCUUAGCACUUUAAAUACAUUUUCUCAGUAACCAAACAGUCUAUUCAUUCAAGCUUUUAAGCUUUCAAACAUGGUAUCAGAGCCAUACAGAGCUAGUUCUAGUAAUCAACAGUCAAGCUUUCGUAAUCAAACAACAAACAACACAAAUCAAUCUACUCAAAUCAACUUCUCCUUUACUAAUCCUAUCAAGCUAGAUCGAUCAAAUUACUUACUCUGGCGCUCUCAAGUUUUAGCUUCAAUAAGAGGCAAUCGUUUGGAAGAUUUCGUCACAGGAGCCAAAUCAGUACCUGAUAAGUGUCUUCUGUUAACUGAAGCAGAUGGAUCUACACAACAAAUUGAAAAUCCAGAAUAUCAGAUCUGGAGAUCACAGGAUCAGACACUUCUUGGCUGGCUACUGUCGUCAUUAAGUGAAGGUAUCUUAAGUCUUGUAAUCAAUUGUGAGAGUUCAUUUGAUAUAUGGAAAACUUUGGAAAAGAAAUUUGGAGUUCAAUCUGAAGCUCGAGUUCUUCAGCUCAGAUAUGAACUAAACAUUCUUAAAAAGGAAGCUCUUAGUGUUGAAGAUUAUUGUAUUAAAAUAAAAGCAAUAGCUGAUAAGCUAGCCAAUGCUGGUAGUUCAAUUACAGAGAAGGAUCUUAUGUUAACUAUUCUUAAUGGAUUAGGACCAGGAGUUCGUGAUAUUGCUACAUUUAUAAAUGGUUCACGAAUGGAAUUUGAUGAUGCUUAUGCACUGUUACUCACUCAUGAGACUAGAUUAGAGCAGGAGCAAGGUGACAGAAGUAUGUUUAAUGCAAACUAUGCAUAUACGAAUGCAUAUUAUCCUAGAGCUUAUUUUGCACAACGUAGAGGAAGUUUUAAACGAGGAGGUUAUUCUGGUGGUAGAACUCCUUUCUUUGGCAGAGCAAAUAUGAAUUACUCUCCAAGAAUAUUUAAUGGAGGUGUUAGAAAUGGAUAUGGCAGAGGAUUUUUUCCUAGAAAUAACUCAGCUGAUUUCAAUCAUUUUUCAGCUCCUAGGAAUCCAGUACCUAAGAACUCAUCCUUUCUAGCUAGAAAUGGUGCUAAUAUGAGUGGAUCACAAGGAAGCUUUAAUAAUGCUGGGGAGCUGGUAUGUCAGAUUUGCUUUAAGAAUGGUCAUACUGCUGAUGUUUGUUGGCACAUAUUUAUUGAAGACUUUGUACCUGUUCCAAGAGGUUUUGGCAGGGAAAAAACACCAAGAGCAGCAUAUUUCUCAAACUUUGAUGGCUCUACUUCUAAUCCAGAUUUUGGCUAUGAAAAUAAUAAUAUGUUUCCAGGUUAUGAUUCUAUAUCUGGCAAUAGUUACUAUUCUGGAAUGGAUGGAUAUACUUCUGGAGCAGCUGGAACAGCUUUCAUGGCUAAUUUUGAAGGGACUGCUGAUGAUGGAUGGUAUCUGGAUAGUGGGGCAACUCACCAUUUAACCAACAAUAUGGAGAAUUUGCAUAUCAAUGAAGAGUUUAAAGGUACUGAUCAGCUUAUCAUUCGAAAUGGUCAAGGUUUGUCUAUUACUCAUGUUGGACAUGCAUUUCUGGUAUUAAGAGCUUCUAAAUCUUUAUCUACACAUGCUAGAAUAACACUUAAAGAUGUGUUACUUGCUCCUUCAAUUGCCAAAAAUCUAUUAAGUAUUUCCAAACUCACAUCUGAUAAUCCUGUAUCUGUUGAAUUUUGUGGAAAUGUUUGUUUUGUGAAGGACAUAAAGGGUCAAGUUCUUCUGCAGGGUAUUGCUGAAAAAGGCCUUUACAAGCUGCUGCUGAAAUCUAAUUCUCUUUCUUCAUCACCUACAUCUUAUCUUUGUAAAUCCCAACCAAAUAAACCAGUUUCUAUGUUAUCUGCUUUCAAACACUGUGAUAAUAGUACUCGAGCUUAAGAGGAUAGAUCCAAGAGUACCUAGUAUAAUCAUCCACAAAACUAAUAUAGUAUUUGUAUCCAUCUCUAGACACAGUGGGUGAAGGCCCCCAAAGAUCAGUAUGAAUCAAUUCUAAUACCCCUUUUGUUUUUGUUUCAGUUAUUGAGAAAUGUUGCUUAUGGACUUUGCCUAGCUGACAUGCUUCACAUAAAGUAUUUGCAGAAGAUAACAUGUCUUUUGGAGAGACUUUAAACUGUUUACAUGAUUUGAGCAAAUGCACCAAUGUCAUUGAGCUUGGAUGACCAAACUUUCUAUGUAACAAAGUUAUCAUAUCAGGUUUGACAUUACACUUAUUUAAAACAAACUGAUAGCAAGCUCGAGUACUAUUAUCACAGUGUUUGAAAGCAGAUAACAUAGAAACUGUUAAAUCACAAGCAUUUGAAGUUUUUAAAUUGUUCAAAACUCAAGUUGAGAAUCAGUUUGAUACCAAAAUUAAGAGGCUACAAUCUGACCUUGGGGGAGAGUUUAGAGCAUUUAUUGAUUUUCUGAAUCAAAAUGGAAUAAUGUUUAGACACUCAUGUCCUUACACUCAUCACCAGAAUGGUCUUGUUGAGAGGAAACACAUGCAUAUAGUUGAGCUAGGCUUAACCCUCAUGGCUCAAGCAAACCUUCCUUUUCAAUUCUGGUGGGAAGCUGUUCAUACAGCAGUGUAUCAUAUUAAUAGAUUGCCUACCCCUGUUCUGAAAUUCUUAUCUCCUUAAGAGAAACUUUUCAAACACAAACCAGAUUACACAUUCCUGAAGUGUUUUGGUUGUCUUUGCUACCCAUACUUGAGAGAUUUUAACAAACAUAAGUUUGAUUUUCACACCUCUAAAUGCAUUUUUAUUGGAUACAAUCCCUCUUAUAAAGGAUACAAGUGCUUAGCAAGUUCUGGCAAAGUCUAUGUUCUUAGACAUGUCAUUUUUGAUGAAAACACAUUCCCUUAUCCAAUAAACACUACAUCUCACUCAUCAGAAAACCCCAUAUCUUCUGAAACCUCAGUGUCUAAUUUCUCUCAACAACAUAUCUAUCAUCUUUCUACAAUGGCCUUACCCAACAGCAGCUUUGAAGGUCUUCAAUCAGCAGGCUCAGCAAGAAGUGAACAAAUGCCCUCUGUUCCCACACAUACAGAUAUUCUGAAUCAACAAGAACAUCCAUCACACACAUCUUUAGAGUUAUCAUCCUCAACCUCACUAUCACCAAACACAUUACCAGUACAAUCAUCCAUUCUACAAUCAGAGGAAACUUCUAUUCCACAGAACAUAGACCAAAUUCAAACCAGAAAUCAUUCCCAACCAUCUUCUCAUCCAAUGAUUACCAGAUCAAAAUCUGGAAUCUUCAAACCAAAGGUCUAUACAGUCACCUUAGCCAACAAAGAACCUAGUACAGUUCAAGAAGCUCUUAGUAGUCAGAAUUGGCAUCAAGCCAUGGUAGAUGAGUAUGCAGCUUUGAUAAAGAAUGAGACUUGGUCACUAGUACCAUUUUCAAAUGCAUACAAAGUAGUUGACAACAAAUGGGUGUUUAGACUUAAGCAAAAUACUGAUGGAAGCAUAGCCAAACACAAGGCCAGGUUGGUUGCCAAAGGUUUUCAGCAAACUGAAGGUGUGGAUUACUUUGAGACCUUUAGCCCAGUUGUAAAAGCUUCAACGGUAAGGAUUGUUCUGAGUUUAGCUGUGAUGCAUAAAUGGAAAAUAAGGCAAGUGGAUGUGAAUAAUGCCUUCUUGAAUGGAAACUUGACAGAGGAUGUCUAUAUGUAUUAGCCUGAAGGUUUUAUUGAUCAACAAAAACCCAAUCAUAUAUGUAAGCUUAAUCAAGCCUCGUAUGACUUGAAGCAAGCUCCUAGAGCUUGGUAUGACAAGCUUAAGAAUUGUCUUAUUGCUAAUUGGAAAUUUCAGAAUUCAAAGGCUGAUACCUCUCUCUUCUUCAAAGAAGUGCAGGGUUCAAUGAUACUUAUCUUAAUCUAUGUUGAUGACAUUCUAAUAACAAGACCUGAUAAUGGUGAGCUGGAAAAAUUCAUCUAAGAAUUCAGUAAGACUUUUGCCUUAAAAGACUUGGGAAUUCUGUCAUAUUAACAUAGACAAAAUUCAAACUAGAAAUCAUUCCCAACCAUCUUCUCAUCCAAUGAUUACCAGAUCAAAAUCUGGAAUCUUCAAACCAAAGGUCUAUACAGUCACCUUAGCCAACAAAGAACCUAGUACAGUUCAAGAAGCUCUUAGUAGUCAGAAUUGGCAUCAAGCCAUGGUAGAUGAGUAUGNNNNNNNNNNNNNNNNNNNNNNNNNNNNNNNNNNNNNNNNNNNNNNNNNNNNNNNNNNNNNNNNNNNNNNNNNNNNNNNNNNNNNNNNNNNNNNNNNNNNNNNNNNNNNNNNNNNNNNNNNNNNNNNNNNNNNNNNNNNNNNNNNNNNNNNNNNNNNNNNNNNNNNNNNNNNNNNNNNNNNNNNNNNNNNNNNNNNNNNNNNNNNNNNNNNNNNNNNNNNNNNNNNNNNNNNNNNNNNNNNNNNNNNNNNNNNNNNNNNNNNNNNNNNNNNNNNNNNNNNNNNNNNNNNNNNNNNNNNNNNNNNNNNNNNNNNNNNNNNNNNNNNNNNNNNNNNNNNNNNNNNNNNNNNNNNNNNNNNNNNNNNNNNNNNNNNNNNNNNNNNNNNNNNNNNNNNNNNNNNNNNNNNNNNNNNNNNNNNNNNNNNNNNNNNNNNNNNNNNNNNNNNNNNNNNNNNNNNNNNNNNNNNNNNNNNNNNNNNNNNNNNNNNNNNNNNNNNNNNNNNNNNNNNNNNNNNNNNNNNNNNNNNNNNNNNNNNNNNNNNNNNNNNNNNNNNNNNNNNNNNNNNNNNNNNNNNNNNNNNNNNNNNNNNNNNNNNNNNNNNNNNNNNNNNNNNNNNNNNNNNNNNNNNNNNNNNNNNNNNNNNNNNNNNNNNNNNNNNNNNNNNNNNNNNNNNNNNNNNNNNNNNNNNNNNNNNNNNNNNNNNNNNNNNNNNNNNNNNNNNNNNNNNNNNNNNNNNNNNNNNNNNNNNNNNNNNNNNNNNNNNNGAAAAACAACACUACCCCAGUGAUGGUAAUUGAAAUUACAAAGAUGUUUUCCAAGACAUUGGUACUUAACGGGAGACCUUGACCAAAACAACUGCAAAAGUCAAACCCACAAAUGUGUUAGAACCAAUGUUUUGAGCUUAAUUGAUAAAAAACACAAACAUACGUAUGCUUUAAUAUAUGCACAAAAAACAAAGAAAGGCGUACACAAAAAGAUUGUUAAGAGAAGAAUGAUGUAUAUUCACAACUUAACCUGAGAGUUUGCAGGCUCCAUUGAAAACAAGGCAAGUACCUCCGAAAAAAAUUGUUUUGAUCCAAAACACCAGAUUGAAUAGCAUCACGGAAUAUCCCAAAAUCAUAGAUAGUUGCAUUUUGAGUCUUUGUAGAGCAAAAAUCACUAGAAAAUGUGUAGUUUGUUAAACUGUCAUCACAGUGUAAAGGAAGGAGGCCACAUCUGGUAAAAUCUGUGCAGGCUUUCUUCCAACAUUCAGCCUUUCUUUGUACGGCGAAAAAGUACCAUAAUGAUCCAAACACCUAAAGAACCAUCAAGUAGAUCCCGGGAACUAUAAAUUACCCAAAAAAACAGUAAAGAGAAAUAGAACAUUUUGGAGACUUAAGAGGCAAGUAAACUUACGUUAGCAGCCUGUAGGUAACCGAAAUUGAACGUCAGAUUGGCCCAUUUAUUAAGGUUAUAUGAAUUCUUCCAUUCUGUAAUCAAUUUAGCCAAUCGGAUAACCUUUAACCCAUGUUGUACAAGAAACAGGUUCAUCAGAGAGAAAAAUUCCUGGCCACUAAUUCUUUGACUAUAAGCUAGAAGCACCAACACCUGAAUAGUUUGUAGAUAUUAAAAAAAAUAUAUAUAUUAACCGUACAAAAUACAACCUAUACAUGCUUGCUAGGAAUCCAACAUAAAUUACUUUGGGCGGUCAGAGGUGUGCGUGUGUGCCCCUCCUUCGCAAGUUGGAACAAAUAAAUUAAAAGUAGACAGAACAAACAUUGACCUGUGGGAGUGGAAGAAUGAUGGAGAGAUCAAGUAGGAAGACGGGCAACAGAGAUUUGCUAUAAUUUCGAUGUAGACUCUCCCGUAUUUCUGAAGUUCUAUUUGUCAAAUACCAUAUACCAAAUGCUGAACGUUCAGCAAUAACCACACUCAUCACCCAUCUGUCAAAUUGGAAGCACUUUUUCUCAUCGUUGGUCACAGGAAUGUACAAGAAAACAGGAUCCAAUACCAUUGAAUACAAACAACACAGCCAGAAAGCCUCAUGCAGCGGAAUAUAGAGAAAUGGAACUCCAAAAACAGAUAUUUCUCUUACUUCACCCUGCGGAAUACGCAGAAAUGGACAAACAUUUAUUUCUCUUACUCCUCUCAUGAUCCUACUGGUCCUGUUCAUUUCAACGCCAGAAACCAGUCUCGACGUUCCUUCCUCUAAAUUCAUUCAAGUCCUGAGACCUUGGAAAAAAAAAAAUCAUCUUCAUCAUGGUCACCGUAUACAAUAAUUGUAAUAAUAUAUAGCCUGAUCAUAAGUUCAGUAGGACUCUAUAAGUAUAUCAUCAAAUUAAUAAACAAGUCACUUACGAAGGAAAAUUAAAGUAAAUGAAGCAAAGCUUAAAUUCAGUUUCCUUCAAUUAAAUACAGGUGGAUCCUUCACGAAUCAGCACUUCAGUGGCUCAGUCUUCGGUGGAUGCUUAUGUUAUGUGUUAAUAAAUAUCAGAGGCACGACCCAAAGACUUCGAUUUUUCAAGUCAACCAGGAACACAUAAUUAUUGUUUGGGGUCCGCUUAUAAUAUUUUCAGGCUAGCUCUGUAGCUCAAGCAUGAAAAACGGGGAAAGUAAAGUGCAAGAAAAUUCCAGAUUCUUUUUUCAAUUGUUCUUUAUACUGUGUAGCUAAUGUACAAAAGUGAAAAUGAAUCUUUGCUUGCAUUUUUUUAAAUUAGCGGCAUAAAAAGAAUGGAGUGAAAAGUACAGAGACCUUGAAUGAUCAUUGAAAGCCAUUAAAGAAUGUAGACAAAAGUUAAUUGCAUUAGAAAGUACUAAUAAUGAAUUAUUUAGACAAAAUAUAGUACUGCAAAAUCAAUGUCAGAUUUUAUUACUUAUCAGUUAUCACCAGAAAACUCAAAACACUUCAACAAAAGCAAGCACUAGAAAAAAUAUUUAACCAUUCCCCAGUAGGACAAUUAAUAAAAAUUCAAAAAAUUUCUUCCCUCAUUGGUGAUAGUAUAGACAUUGUAAAAAAAAUUUUAUUUCAGUAGCCAAUCAAAUAUUCUAUGGCAUAUUAAAUUUCUUAGGAUUGUUAAAUUACAAUAAGAAAUUUAUACCAAAAUCUUAGUACAUUAAUGAGACCAUUAUAUAAUAAAUUAAGUAAAAAUGGACAAAAGUAUUUUAAAUUUUAUAGUGAAGAUAUUAAAUUAAUACAAAAACUUAAAGAAAUAGGAAUUUUUUUAAUCUACAUCAUCAUAUGUUAAUUCCUCAUUAUUACAUAAUUCUUCAAAUAAUUCUUCAUCUAAACAUUUUUUAGGAUUAUUAAAUAUUAAUUCUAUAAUCUUAUCUCUAAUAUUAUGUAGAGUUUUCUCUUUAUCUGUAUUUAAAUUUUUUACUAUAGGCAUAUUUAUUUCUAUAUCUUCUAAUUAUGGAUUACCUAUUUUUCUAUAAUUAUUAAAUCUCUGUGUAACUUAAUUAUGUAAUUCUUAGUGCUUUCUAUCUUGCUAUCUACUGCAUUUUCUUCCUCCGAUAGUGAGUCAAAAAAUGCAAUAUCUACUUCUUUUUCCAUUGCUAGUGAUUUCUUUUCGUAAGGCAAAAUAUGCAUCUCAAAUUUAGGUUGUACAAAUGUUGAUUUUUUAAAGAAAUUUAUCUCAUUAGUAGUUGUUAAUAUACUACUGUUAUCUUCUAAUAUAAAAUUUAAUCCUAAAAUAAAAUUAUAUCCUACUUUUUUACUACAGAUAAAUGUUUGUGGAACUCUAUUAACGGUUUAUCUAAACUCAUUCAUUUACUAUUAAUUUUAUUGAAUUUAAUUGUAUUUGUAAAUCUCUUUGUGUAUUUUUAAUAUUUUUAUUUCAACUUUUAAAACUUUUACAAGACUUUUGAUUUAUAAUUCUACUAGUUUAGGUGCUUUUAUGUCUAAUAAUUUUAUUAAUUCUAUUAUUUCUUUUUUAUUACCGAACCUUGUAAUUUGACUAUUAAAAUCAGCUAAUGACUCUUUAAUAUAGUCUAAAUUCUUUCUUUGUGUAUUUUAUGUUACUUGCUUCAAAAAAUUGUCCUAACCGUAAUACUAGUUCUUUAAGCUUUUCUAGUUUAACUUCUAAGUGCUGUCCAAGAUUAAUUAUUAAGUCUAUUGUUGACCAUUACUCGUAUAUGGAAUAUGUUUAUAUUGAUUUUCUAAAUGCUCUAUAUUAUGAUUAAGUUUAAUUUUAUUUUCCUAUGACUACUAAUUUGUAAAUCCAAAUAUGCUAGUUUUUGAAAAUUCAUAAACUAAUUCUUUAACUAUUCUAGUUUAUUUCUAAUUUUUAAAAUUACAUUUUCAUAUGAUCUAAUAAAUUUAGUUGCCUAUUGUAAUUAUGUUUUACUAUAGAUAAGUACGUAAGAGUGUAAUAUCUAACACUUACUUUUUUUAAUUAUUAUUAUAGGGUCUAAUGGAGAUGUGCAAUCUACUAGAAAUUUUGUAUUUUCUAAUCUUUCUUCUAUUAAAUUAUUUAAUAUAGAGUGUUCUGCACUAAUUUCUACUUUUUUCUAGCUCUACAAUUUUUAGAGCAAUUUCUAAUUUUUCGGUUCAAGGAUUAAUCACAAAUACCCACAGCCAAAUUUACUUUUGAAAGACUUGGAUUUUGCAGUCUUACGUGUGACAUUUGUGCUGUGUUAUCUAUGGCCCCAUCUAAUCCUAUCUUACUAAAUUUUUGUACCGCGCUACCUAAAAUUUUUCCACUACGGGCAAUUUGAUAAGAGUCUUUGUCUUCUUUAGUCAGCCACGAAAAAAAAAAAUGUUAGUUCAGAUCUAACUAUUCAAUCAAGAGCUAGCUCAGGACAAAAAGAAGUGUGCAAUAACGGGACGAUACUGUCGACAGACAAUAGACAAAUUUUUCUUUGAAUGGUUUACUUUGGACUAAAUGAUCGGUGAUCCAACACCACUGACCGUUUUUCAAAGGGACCCAUGUUGUGGAUGAAAAUUGAUAAAACUUGAACCCUAUUUUUUUUUUCCCCUCUCCGUUGUGUGAAUCAACCUUGGUUAAUUAAACUCACCGAAAUUGGAGGGGAAAAAAUCUUGAAAAUAUAUAAUAAUCUGCCCCAUUUCUACUUAAAACUUUCUCUUUUAUGCAUCAUACUGGCCUUAAAUUCUUGCAGCGGAAAGCAAAACGCAGGGACCAUAAAGCCAUCAAUAGUUCUCUAAAUUUCCAAAUAUAUGUAACAACAAUAGUCAGUGUACAAACUACUUUCACGAGAUUUAUUCAAUAGCUUAGAAACGAGAUGUAAUUUGUAUUUAAAAUAAAAAUCAAUGACAAUAAGCUUAUUAUAACAAGCAUAGGGUGUGACCAGCCUAUUUUUCUUUAGCAAUAAAAUGAGGUUCCACAAGCUGCCUAGACAUAGGGUAUGUUUGGGGGAGAGUAAGAAUUCAAUGAUGUUUGGAAACAGAAAAAACUUAAGGGAAAAUAAGAGAAUUCUAAAACUCUUUCUUCGUUUUUAUUAUCUCAAGUCAUUAAUUGACUGAAUCUGUACAUACUUCUGUUUAUAUACAUCAGUAGUAAUUAGAACUGAUUCUCAACUAAUUGCAAGUGCUAAUCAGCUUUGAACACAUUGAGCUUGGAACGAAAAUAACUAAACUUAGGAAAUGACAGGGGCUUAGUAAGAACAUCUGCAACUUGCUCUUUAGUGGGAAUGUACCUCACUUCCAAUUCUUUGUUAAGAACCUUGUCUCUAAUAUAAUGAAUGUCUAGCUCUAUGUGUUUUGAUUUUGAGUGAAAAACUAGAUUUCUAGGUAGAUCUCCAGCACUCUGGUUAUCACACCAUAGAACAGAAGUUGGUAAUUUUGUGAUGUUGAGCUCAGAGAAUAAUGAUUGCAGCCAAGAAAGUUUAGAGCUGGCUGCUGACAAGGCUCUGUAUUCACUCUCAGUACUAGAUUUUGCUACAAUGGCUUGCUUUUUUGAAGACCAGGAAACCAAAUUAUUACCAAGGAAAAUGCAAUAUGCUCCAAUGGAUUUUUUGGCAUCAAUAUCACAUGCCCAAUCAGCAUCUGAAUAUCCUGUUAGUCCUAUAGUUUCCAGAGUUCCCUCCUGCUAAAUAUAGAGACCAUAUGUGACAGUAGCUUGAAGGUAUCUGAGCACUUUUUUACAAGCUAACCAGUGUUGAAGUGUAGGAGCACUGAGGUACUGACUAAGCUUAUGCACUAAAUAUGCAAUGUCUGGUGUGGUUAAGAUUAAGUAUUGCAAACCUCCAACAAUGCUUCUAUAGAGGGUUGGAUUCUCAAAUUCAGCACCCAAUAAGCCUUUUGUUGACCUUUCCAACUUGUAGCCUGUGCUGAAAGGAGUGUCAGUUCCUUUGUAGUCUUGCAUUGAGGCUUUGGACAGCAGAUCCUUGAUGUACUUGGUCUGAGGGAAGUGCAUUCCAUGAUCUGUAUAGCUGACUUCUACACCAAGGAAAUAUGUUACUAGACCCAAGUCUUUUAAUGCAAAAACUUUGCUGAGCUUAGCAAUAAAAGAUUCCAGCAAGUCUGAAUCUGGUCCAGUGAUCAGAAUGUCAUCCACAUAUAUUAAGACAAGAAUUAUGCCUUUGACAUCAUGCCUAAUAAACAGAGAAGUAUCAGCCUUAGAAUUAGUGAAUUUCCAACUUGUAAGACAUCCCUUAAACUUAUCAUACCAGGCUCUUGGAGCUUGUUUUAAGUCAUAAAGAGCUUUGUUUAGUUUACAGAUGUAUCCUCCCUCUGAAACAAAACCCUCUGGCUGUUGCAUGUACACAUCCUCAAUGAGAUCCCCAUUAAGAAAUGCGUUAUUGGCAUCAAUUUGUCUAACAUUCUAGCCUUGCAUGACUGCCAAGCUAAGAAUAACCCUGACAGUAGAAGAUUUCACUACAGGACUAAAAGUUUCUGAGUAAUCUAUCCCAGCAGUUUGGUGAAACCCUUUUGCAACUAAGCGAGCUUUGUACUUAGAGACUGAACCAUCAGUAUUGUAUUUAGUUCUAAAAACCCACUUGCAGCCUACUAACUUGUAUUCGGGAUUCAUUGGUACUAAGCUCCAGGUUUUGUUUCUAAUGAGAGCAUUAUAUUCAUCUUGCAUUGCUGCCUUCCACUUAGUAUCAGAUAAGACUUCUCCAGCAUUGGAAGGUUCUAGGCUGUUAUGAUCUGUCAAGAAGGCCUUUGGUUUGAAUAUGCCAGCUUUAGCUCUAGUAAUCAUAGAAUGAGUGUUUAUGGUUGUAGCUGAGGGAAGUGAUCUGGAAGGUGAAUUUUGUAGUAUUGCAGGUGAAGUUGUAGUGUUUGGUAUAAUGUUUAUGGUAGCAGCUGGUGAUGUUGUGUGGACAAUGGGUGAAGAUAUAGUAUUAUUUGGUGAAAUCAGUGAGGUGGAAAUUACUUGUGAUGUAGGAAUAGGAAGAGAGAUGAUGUUGUGAGUAGAACUGGAGGCAUGAGAAUCUGUAUCUGCAGGAGCAGCUGCUAAAGGAUUCUGAUUGCUAUUAGGAACUGAGAUGUGAUAUACUUGUAAGGAAUUAUAAAGGAAGUCAGAAGAUUUAGAUGGCAUAGACUGUAAGAAGGUAGAAUCAGUAGAAUAUGGAAAGGAAGUUUCAUAAAAAAAAACAUGACUAGCUAUGUAAAUUCUUCCUGAUGGAUGAAGACACUUGUAGCCUUUGUGUAAAGGGCUGUAUCCUAAGAAAACACAUUUAGAAGUAUGGAAGUGAAACUUGUGAUGAUUGCAAUCUCUUAAGAAAGGAAAACAAGCACAACCAAAAGUUUUGAGAAAUGGAUAGUCUGGUUUUUGAUGGAAUAGAUAUUCAUAAGGGGUUUUCAAGGAAAGAACAGGAGUUGGAAGUUUGUUUAUAAUGUGGGUAGCUGUAUGAAAAGAAUCCCACCAAAAUUUUAUAGGUAACUUGGCUUGUGCAAGCAAGGUUAAACCCAACUCAGUGAUGUGUCUAUGUUUUCUUUCCACAAGUCCAUUUUGAUUGUGAGUAUAUGGAUAGGAGUGUCUAAACUGAAUCCCCUCUGUUUAAAGAAAAUGAACAAGUGAUCUAUACUCACCACCCCAAUCAGAUUGAAGACACUUGAUAGGUUUAUCUAAUUGUUUCUCUACUUGAGCUUUGAAAACUUUGAACACUGGAAAUGCUUCAACUUUGGUUUUUAAAGGAAAGAUCCAGGUGAAUCUUGUGUAAUCAUCUACAAAGCUGAUAUAAUAUUUAUAUCCUUGUAUAGAAAGUGUAAGAGCAGGCCCCCAUAGAUCUGUAUGUAAGAUUUCAAGUGCAUUUUUUGUUUUGGUUUCAGUUACUGGAAAAUGAAGUUUGUGCAUUUUUCCCAACUUACAAGCAUCACAAGAAUCAAAACCUUUAUUACCAUCGAUGGUUUUAAAAGAUGGACAAGAAUUGAUAACAUGAUUCAACACUCUAGCAUUGGGAUGACCUAAUCUUUGGUGUAAAACCAUAGUACUCAACAUACAAUCUGAGUUUUGACUACAUUGUGCUUCAGUUUGUAACUGAGAAGCAAUUUUAUUUUGACAUUUAGAAUCAACAACAGAAAACAUGGAAAUAGGUUGAGUUGAGACAUCUGACUGAACAUGAGCAAAAAGACCUUGGUUUGACAGAUAAGGAGAGGUUUUAUUUGAGGAGACAAAUAGCAAUCUGUACAAUCCUUUUUCAGCUUUGCCCUGCAGCAUGAUCAAAUUCCUCACCUUGUCCUUAACAAAACAGAAAUCAUUAGUAAAUUCUACCACAACAUCAUUAUCUCUGGUUAGUUUUGAUAUACAUAUCAGGUUUUUGGUUAUUUUAGGCACAAGAAGAAUAUUGUUUAGCUUAAGAUCAACAUGAUUUAUAGAGCUUUUCAUUCUCAAAACAGCAGAACCUGUAUGUGUUAUGAAUAAACCAACACCAUUACCAAUGACAAGUUUAGAAGUACCUGUAAAAGGUUCAGCCAUAUUCAUAUUGCUCAUAUCAUUAGUGAGGUGGUGUGUAGCACCACUGUCAAGAUACUAAUUAGUAUCAGCUGGAGCAUCCAUGUUGGCUAAAUAGGCAGCCUUUGGUCCUCUAUUUGGAGGUGAUCUGUAAGAGCCUAAAGCAAUGAAUUCUUCCAGCUUCCAACAAAUGUUUGCAGUAUGUCCAGGCUUGAGGCAGAUUUAGCAGGUAGGUUUUGAAGUAUUCCACUGAGGUUUAGAGUUCAUAGGUGGUUUCCCAUUGUUAAAAUUGUUAACUCCAGUGUUAUUGUUCUAGUUUCCUCCUCCUCCUCCUAUUUGAUUACCAGAUUGAUAACCUUUGAACUGACUAUUAAAACCAGUACCACCACUAGUAGAUUCAGUGCCAAAGUUUCCUUUGUAAUAACCACCAUUUCCAAACCCAGAGUUAUAGCCAUAACCACCAAAACCUCUUCCACCUGAUAUGUUUCCCUUCUUAACUCCUCUAUUUUGAGCAUAAUUUGCCUCAAAAAUUGUUUUUCAUAUCCACACCAGCAAGCAUUUGUGAUUGUUGUUCAAUCCUAGCCUCUUGAGUUAACAACAUAGCAUAGGCUUCAUUUACAUUCAUUUUACCAACUCCUACUUGACCAGUAAUGUAAGUAGCUACUGAAUUAUAAUCUGGUCCUAGGCUAGAUAAUACAUGUAAAAUCAGAUUAUCACUACUUAAAGCACUUCCUGCUGCAGCCAUAUUAUCAGCUAUGUUUUUCAUCUUAAUAAAAUAGUCUGUGAUUUUCAUAUCAUCUUUUUUUGUUGAAUUCAUCAUAUCUUUCCUUGUUGAAUUCAUCAUGUAUCUUAGAUGUAAAAGUCUGGAUUUAGACUGCGAGCCAAAUUGUACCUUAAUAGUUUUCCACACUUCAAGUGAUGUUUCCAGGUUGAACACUAGACUAAUGAUUCCUUCACUCAUUGAAGAGAGCAGCCAUCCAAGCAUCACUUGAUCUUGAGAUCUCCAUGUUGUGAAUUCUGGAUUCUUUACAGAUCUGAGUUUAUCAUCAACUCUCUGAGCUAUAUGAGAUGGAGGUGGAGUGACUGCAUUAUCAAUAAACUUUUCGAGCCUGUUUCCACGAAUUGAGGCUAGGACUUGAGAUCGCCAUAUGAGAUAAUUGGACUGAUCAAGCUUGACUGGUGUGUUAAAGGUAAAGGAAACAGUUGUUGAAUUUGUAGCAUGAUUAAGAGUUUAAAUUGAGGAAGAAGAAGCAAGAUUAACAGACGCCAUUAUUGGCUGGCUCUGAUACCAAGUAAGAAUUCAAUGAUGUUUGGAAACAGAAAAAACUUAAGGGAAAAUAAGAGAAUUCUAAAACUCUUUCUUCGUUUUUAUUAUCUCAAGUCAUUAAUUGACUGAAUCUGUACAUACUUCUGUUUAUAUACAUCAGUAGUAAUUAGAACUGAUUCUCAACUAAUUGCAAGUGCUAAUCAGCUGGUUAUAACUAAUUAAAACUGAAUUACAAGCACAAGAAAUACUAUAACAAACCUACUAAUCUUCACGUGUGCAAGAGACUAUAUAACCACCAGGCUCCAGCUGGCAAGCCAUGUCAUCAACCUGUAACAGCAAGCUGCAGGUGUUGCAAUCCUCUGCUCCACUGACUACUCUGCUUCCUUAACAGGGAGCAGCUGCCUAUAUUCUAGGAGGAUAUUGCAGCGCAGCUGCCUCAAAUGCACACGUAAUUGUGGGGCGCUCUGUCUAGACGUUUCUGCAUUCCUUGUAGAAUGAGAGAAAUUAAGUUCCUUUCACAGCGCCCAUGAGCAAUUUUAUGAAUCAAGUUGCUUGGAUGAAUAGAGCUGCCCGACUAGGCUUAAUGAGUGACACAUUUUUCAAGUCAUCAGCCAUAGACAAAAGGCUUCAACUUUAUGCUUGAAUAGCUCUGGUUGAGAUGGCAGGCUGAAGCAUUGUUGGUUUGCCCUUACACCUGAGUAUCGAUCUGUCCAUGGCUACCAGAAAAUGAGAAAAUUCUUUUUACAAUGUCCUGGAAUAAUUUUAAAAAUCGAGCUGCUUUAAUGAAUGGAGCUACUCGUUUCUGCUCAAAGAGUAAUAAAUCAUCGGCUGUGAGAACAAAGGCUUCAACUUUUGUAAGUGCUUGAAUGGUUCCUGUUGAGGUAGGGAGGUCAGAUGAAAAAUGGUCAAUUGUAGUGCAAGCAUCCUGAACCCAAGCGACAAGUUCUUCUCCACAAAUGUCGCCAUCUUUAAGAUAAUUAUUAGUGCCUGGGGAGGCUUUUGUUACAUUUCCGGAGUUGUAGAUCCGUAGCUUACCUUGCACCACCAAAAGUGCCUUAUCAAUUGGGUCUCCUUCAUGGACAAUGUAAGCGUGCCCCAUGUAGGUAACUGGCUGAACAAAAUCACACAGAUCCUCCAGCAAUGCUCUCUUCCACUUUCCAAAUUUUCCCAUCUUGAUUACAUACAAGAACAACAAUGAGAAUACAGACGUACCAUCUCAAGCAAUUAUAAUGUGGUAUUGAAUAGAACUCACAAUGAUGUACAAAGCAGAGCAGUUCUAUUGGAUAAUAACAGCAAUAAUAAAAUUAAAACCCACUUUCUUGAGGAGUUCUAAGCAGAGUUCAUAUUUUAUCUCCCUUCCAAGGUCCUUUGGAAGACGAUUGAUCAAACUUUCUAUAUCAAAACCAAUGGUUUCUUGCAAUUGGUAUAGCAGGUACUGAAUCGGCUGUUGAAGUUUUAGAGAAAGCUUUCUAUAGGGCAGCCACUGCCCUAACUCUGUCCCCUUCUGUGUCAUCCCCACUGGUCUUACAAGUUCAGACUGACUGUGAAUAAGUCUGUUUCAAAAAGACUAGAGUCCAUAGAAAUUAAAAGUCACUGCGCUUCAUCUUAAGCAGCAGAUAAAACUAUCUUGGAGAUAAAAAAAAAAAAAUGAUGAACCAGGAUUUGUCCAACAAAAAUAACAAGUAGCCACAUGCUAGAUACACUAAUGCAAACUGCAAAGAUGUUUUCCCAUGGAUUGGCACUUGUUUGGAGACCUUGACCAAAAGAACUGCAAAAAAAUUGAAUUCGAAGGUAUCUGUCGGGCACUAAUCUCAGAAGUUAUAAGUUCAAUAUGCUCAUACAAGGAGUUUACACGGGUAAAGCACUUUGUAUAUAACAGAUGACCACUUAUUUUAAUAGCUUACUUUUAAACUAGAUGAAAGUCAUAUGAUUAUGGGUGAAGUUAGAUUUUCUUUUAUUACAGUAGUUUUGCCAAUGGCCAUCUCAGCAAUGGGUCGAUUAAUGAAAUUUUCAACGAGGGCACGGACUCUCUCAUCCUCAAAAACCAUUAUAAUAUGGAAUAAAUAUUAAAAUCAGGGACGCAUUAUAUGCAAAUUAGUGUGAUUUUAAAAUGGAACAAAAUGAAUCGUCGGUUGAAACAUGAAAACUUUGCUCCAUACUGCAAUCCGAACUUGAAAUUAGCAUAAAUAUAUAUAUAUAUAAUCAACACUGUAGAGGAGUUUUGAUAGCUUUAUAUAUACACAUCAACCGUAUCAGGCAUCGGUUUCUAAUAUCUCAAACUCAAAAUACUCUCGUCCAAAUUUAUUCUUGAGAUAGGUCCUUAAUUAAGAUCAUGAACAAGGCCUAAAAUACUAACGUUGCUGCACCAGAUCUGAAUGCCCAAAAUAUUAUUGUAGAUGGCGAUGGUGGCGUUCAUUGUGCGGACGCUUGUGCAUUCUUUCUAGUUUGUCGGAAUACUUGUAUGCAGCGAGCUGCAUUGUUUUGCUUAAUGAUCAAUAUUCAAAAGCAACUGCUUCAAAUCAUCUGCCAUUAGAACAAAUGCUUCAACAUUUGUAAGAGCUUGAAUUGUUUUAGUUGAUAGAGGGAGGUUGGAUGAGUCGCGGUCAGCCUUCGCCCAAGCAAUGAGUUCUUCUCCAGCAGAGUCACCAUCUUCCAGAUGGUUGUUCAGGUUACCAGAAUUGCUUGAGGAUCCAGCUAUGCUCCUGGAAGUGUAGGUCCAUAACUUGCCUUGCAGCACGAAGAGCAUUUGAUCAAUUGGGUUUCCCUCCUGGAGAAUGUAAGAGCGCGCUGUGAAGACAACUGGCUUCACAACAUCACACAGUUUCUUCAACGAUGAAACAUCCUGCUUUCCAAACUCUUCUGCCUAAACAAACAUACAUCCAAUAUCAUUACUAUAAUCUAGAAGGCUCGAUGCUGAUAAUGAAAUUCAGCUUCUGAAUGAAGAGAAUAAAAAUUGAUCUAGAACUAUCUCAGCUAAAAUGAGAUUCAUUCCCCAUCACUAAACACAUGUCAGGCUUGAGUUUCCAUUGAGGUGAUGUGAACCUUAGCUAUUGCGCUUUCAAAACCAUGCAGAAGUUCAAAUAGUUACAAACAUUUACCCUUGAGUUUAUUCGAUUGAGUUAAAGAAUAGGAAAAUAUUUUCAUUAGUUUUUCGGAUUGCUGUUUAUAUGUUGCCAGCCUCUUCUUUGUCAGUUCCACAAAUUCAGAAGUAGGAGGGACAAAUAUAGUUGUAAAGAUUUCUUACUCACAUUUUUUAGCAGGUCUAAGCAGAGGUUUUGUUUUAUGCUCUUCUGCUGUACCGUACAUCCGCCUUGGCCGUACAGCAGACCAAAAAUUUAUUACCAAUAAUUAAAAAGAAAAAAGAGAAAAAGAAAGUGUAGUAUUUGCCCCUUAAAUGACUUGGUCGCACACGUCUUUGAAAAUCGGCUCGAACAACAUAGAGGAAUCUAGAACAAACAUAUUUACCAUGAAAUGAUAGACGGUGGGCAUAUAUGUCAUUUCACAAAGAAAAUGAGAAUAAAACUCAAAACAAUUAGAAUUUAAAAAAAAAAUAAAGGAAAUUAAAGCGCCUCUAUUCCAGUGAUGGUAAUUGAAAUCACAAAGAAGUUUUCCAAGACAUUAGUACUGAAUGGGAGACCUUGACCAAAAGAACUGCAAAAGUCAAACCCACAAAUUUAUUAGAAAUUUAGAACCAAUGUUUUUGAGUUUAAUUGCUAAAAAAACAUAAAAAUACGUAUGCGUAAUUUUAUGCCCAAAAAACAUAGAAAGGCAUAUGCACAAAGAUUGUUACAAGGAGAAUGAUGUAUAUCCACAACUUAACCUGAGAUUUUGCAGGCUCCAUCGAAUACAAAGCAAGAACCUCAGAGAUAAACUGUUUUGCUCCAUAACACCAGAAUUAAUAGCAUCAACGUAUAUCCCAAAAUCAUAGAUAGUUGCAUUUUGAGUCUUUGUAGAGCAAAAAUCAUUAGAAAAUGUGUAGUUUGUUAAACUGUUGUCACAGUGCAAAGGAAGGAGACGGCAUUUGGUAGAAUCUGUGCAGGCUUUCCUCCAACAUUCGGUCUCUGGCCCAUUUAGUAUGCUUAUAUGAAUUCUUCCUUUUUUUAAUCAAUGCAUACAAUCGCUUAACCUUUAGCAAAUGUUGGACGAUAAACAGGUUCAUCACAUGGAAAAAUUGCUGGACAUUCAUUAGUCGAUUAUAAACUAGAAGCACCAACACCUGAACAGUUUGUACACCAUAAAGAUAGAAUUAUCAAUUAUGAAAUAUGAUUCCAUAUGAAAAGGAAAAAAAAAAAUGGAAAUUAAUCGUACAAAUUACAACCUAUGCGUGCUUGCUAGGAAUCCAACAUAAAUUACUUUUGGGCGCCCAUAGGUAUGCGCGUGUGCCCUUGCUUGGCUAGUUGGAACAAAUAAGUAAAAAGUACGACAGAACAAACAUUUACCUGUGGGAGUGGAAAAAUGAAGGCGAGAUCAAAUAGGAAGACGGCCAACCGAGAUUUGCUAAAAUUUCGAUGUACAUUCUCCCCUAUUCGUAAAGCUUUUUUCAUCAAAAACAAUAUAUCAUAUGCUGUACGUUCAACAAUAACCAAAAUCAUAAGGGCUAUGUCAAAUUGGAAGCACUUUUUGCCAUCGUUGAUCACGGGAAGGUACAAGAAAACAGGAUCAAAUAUUAUGGAAUACACAUAAAUCAGCCAAAAAUUAGCAUCCGGGUAACGUCUCGUAGCAUCCAGGAAACGUCUCGGCAGAUUACGAAUCUGCCGAAGAGAUGUUUUUUCUCCAUUACCCAAGCUUUCGAUCACAGUUCGAAAAGCAGAUACUGUUGCUUCUCUCUCGCUCCUACUGAUGCUGUCCAUUUCAACACCAGCAACCAGUCUCGGCGUUCCUUCCUCUAAAUUCGAGUGCUGAGACCUGAAAAAAUAAAAUCAACUUCAUCGUCAUCACCAUAUACAAUAAUUGUAAUAACAUAUGGCCUGUACCUCAGCUCAGUAAGGCUCUAUACGUAUAUCGUCAAAUUAAUAAACAACUCGCUUAAGGCUUACAUAAUCAACCAAGGGGAAGGAAAAUUUAAGUAAAUGAAGCGAAGCUUAAUUUCAGUUUCCUUCAAUUAAAUACAGGUGGAUCCUUCACAAAUCAUCACUUCAGUGGCUGAGUCUUCGGAGUUCAGAGCAUGCUUAUCCUAUGCGCUAAUAAAUAUCUACGCACUGUGGUUCCUCAAGACAUUGACUUCUUACACAAUCAAUCAAACAACCAAAAAAAAAAAAAAUUCAAUAAUUAUGUAAUUUCUGUAGCACCUGUUGAUUGAGCUGGGGCCGGAGGCAACUAAUAGCUACGACUUGAGGUUAGAACUUAUCCAUAUGCAUAAUCUCAAUCUACGGUUCAUUAACCAAAAUUUUGGCCCCAAGAGGCUGCAACUCUAUCACGUCCCUUUGUGCUUUUUGCUCACUAGUAGAAUUGGAUCUUUGUGCUUUUUGCUCAAGAUAAAUAUAAGCCUUAGAAAUAUGAACUUGUUAAGGAUCCAAAUCCAAACUUGUGAACAAUGUCACGAUGCCUAUUACAAAUUUGAGCAAUGGUAGGAACAGUUGGGGCCUGUGUCCCAGGUGGUUUUAGAAACUUUUUGAUGACCACUGACCUUUCUUCCUUAGAAUUUAUAAAAAUAUCCCAUUUGAGUGUUAAAAUUAUGAAAAGUUCAGUGCUCAUCUCUAGUUCACAAAUUGAACUUACUUUCUGCUAGUUCAAACACUGAAAUUUUGUGUAAAAAAUAAAUCAAGGGUCAUAUAUUGUUAUUUAAAUUUUUUUUGAAAUUGUAUUAUACUAAUAAAGGUUUUAAAUGGAGAUAAGAAAUCUCAUUUGUUAAAGACUAAUCCUUAAAUUUAAUUUCAAACACUAUAUAUAAUCAAACACUAUAAAGGAGUUUUGCUAACUUCAUAUAUAUACACAUCAACUGUAUCAGGCUUCGGUUUCUAAUAUCUCAAACUCAAAUACUUUCGUCCAAAUUUAUUAUUGAGAUAGGUCCUUAAUUAAGAUCAUGAACAAGGCCUAAAAUACUAACGUUGCUGUACCAGAUCUGAACGCCCAAAUAUUAUUGUAGAUGGCGAUGGUGGCGUUCCUUGUGCGGACGCUUGUGCACUCCAUCUAGUUUGUCAGAAUACAUGUAUACAUCCAGUGCAAUGUUUUGCUUAAUGAUCAAUAUUCAAUAGUACCUGCUUUAAAUCAUCUGCCAUAAGAACAAAUGCUUCAACAUUUGUAAGAGCUUGAAUUGUUUUAGUUGAUAUAGGGAGGUUGGAUGAGUCGCGGUCAGCCUUUGCCCAAGCAAUGAGUUCUUCUCCAGAAAAGUCACCAUCUUCCAGAUGGUUGUUCAGGUUACCAGAAUUGCUUGAGAAUCCAGUUAUGCUCCUGGAAGUGUAGGUCCAUAACUUGCCUUGCAGCACGAAGAGCAUUUGAUCAAUUGGGUUUCCCUCCCGGAGAACGUAAGAGCGCUCUGUGAAGACGACUGGCUUCACAACAUCACACAGUGUCUCCAACGAUGAAUGACUCCAGUUUCCAAACUCUUCUACCU
Molecule: long non-coding RNA, 24879 nt
Filed under: Citrus sinensis (sweet orange)
Lineage: Eukaryota; Viridiplantae; Streptophyta; Magnoliopsida; Sapindales; Rutaceae
Description: long non-coding RNA (CSIN_LNC004011)
Source: RNAcentral